RNAcentral lists this long non-coding RNA (994 nucleotides) under Equus caballus (horse). RNAcentral's name for it is "lncRNA (ENSECAG00000047938.1)". Lineage: Eukaryota; Metazoa; Chordata; Mammalia; Perissodactyla; Equidae. The record is from RNAcentral.
ACUUUACAGAGGAUUAAGGUUCAAUGAAAUCAAGAUGUACAGAGUAUGUGUCAGUAUGUGUCAGACAUCUAAAAAUUCUUGAGAAAGCAAUUAUACUGAGUGCUGUCUAAUAAUAAAUCCAAAUGGACAGCUAUGAUAUGAACUGCAUUUUCUAACAACACUACCCCCACCUGACUCUGCAUUGCAAUCUUUGCUAAACUCUCUGCAAAAGAACAGAUGUUCUGCUUUGGGUUGAGAAAUCAACAGUUACCAUUCAUAUGUUCCAAAAAUUCAAGGGCCUAGUGCUGCUGUUUUAAGAAUGCUAAUUAAUUCCAGCCCUUAUGCUCCAAUAUUCUUGCAGUUUCAAUCAAUUGCAUUCUCAUAGGACUUCGGUCCCCAGUAUCUCCUUUGAAAGUCUAUGGGGAAAAGCAACUAGGAAAUGUACACAUCAUGGACCUGGGGGAGAAAAAGAAUUAAUCGAAUAUGCUCUAAUUUUGUCUAUUUCUCAUAGCGUUAUCAUCGCCAUCCUCUGCUAUAUUGAUUUGAACAGGUCUGAAUGGUGAAGAAAUGAUGGAGCCCAUUUGUCUCAAACAAGGGCUCUAAUGAUACUCAGAACAGAACAAGUCACAACAAAGCUUGCCGGGGAAACUGUACGCUGGCCUCUUCAUGAACCAUUGCUCUCUUUCCCUGCUUCACGUGGCUCAUGUAAUUCAGAAGAUAGACUUCAUUCAAAGAAUGAAAAAUAGGUGAGCCUGAAUCCCGGUGCCUCUCUCCAUCAAUUCAGCAAGCUGCAGAACGUUAUCUGCCUUGAUGGUUAUCGGUUAUUUUGCAUCAACAGGACUCAUGCCCAGGCAAAGUUUGGGAUAACUGAUAGGACAACAGCUCUCACAGAGGGAAAAUCACCAACGUUAUCCCACAUAAUUCCAAGGCAUCAUCAUCUUAAAUUAUUUAAUUUAUAAAUCCAAACAAGAAAGGUCCAUGUUUUACCAUCUUUGAGGGUCAGGUACUACCAUAC